This 215-nucleotide ribosomal RNA is filed under the name Staphylococcus aureus. RNAcentral's name for it is "partial 16S ribosomal RNA". It matches the Rfam family "Bacterial small subunit ribosomal RNA", at positions 220 to 434 of the family's 1533-position model. Lineage: Bacteria; Bacillati; Bacillota; Bacilli; Caryophanales; Staphylococcaceae. The record is from RNAcentral.
UAUAGAUGGAUCCGCGCUGCAUUAGCUAGUUGGUAAGGUAACGGCUUACCAAGGCAACGAUGCAUAGCCGACCUGAGAGGGUGAUCGGCCACACUGGAACUGAGACACGGUCCAGACUCCUACGGGAGGCAGCAGUAGGGAAUCUUCCGCAAUGGGCGAAAGCCUGACGGAGCAACGCCGCGUGAGUGAUGAAGGUCUUCGGAUCGUAAAACUCU